GACGAACGCUGGCGGCGUGCUUAACACAUGCAAGUCGAACGGAAAGGCCCUGCUUUUGUGGGGUGCUCGAGUGGCGAACGGGUGAGUAACACGUGAGUAACCUGCCCUUGACUUUGGGAUAACUUCAGGAAACUGGGGCUAAUACCGGAUAGGAGCUCCUGCUGCAUGGUGGGGGUUGGAAAGUUUCGGCGGUUGGGGAUGGACUCGCGGCUUAUCAGCUUGUUGGUGGGGUAGUGGCUUACCAAGGCUUUGACGGGUAGCCGGCCUGAGAGGGUGACCGGCCACAUUGGGACUGAGAUACGGCCCAGACUCCUACGGGAGGCAGCAGUGGGGAAUAUUGCACAAUGGGCGGAAGCCUGAUGCAGCAACGCCGCGUGCGGGAUGACGGCCUUCGGGUUGUAAACCGCUUUCGCCUGUGACGAAGCGUGAGGGACGGUAAUGGGUAAAGAAGCACCGGCGAACACGUG
RNAcentral lists this ribosomal RNA (467 nucleotides) under uncultured bacterium. RNAcentral describes it as "partial 16S ribosomal RNA". It matches the Rfam family "Bacterial small subunit ribosomal RNA", at positions 28 to 507 of the family's 1533-position model. The record is from RNAcentral.